GAUGAACGCUGACAGAAUGCUUAACACAUGCAAGUCGAUGGGGAAGUGGUGCUUGCACCAUGGUAACCAUGGCGGACGGGUGAGUAACGCGUAAGGAACUUGCCUGCGGGACUGGGAUAACAGCAGGAAACUGCUGAUAAUACCGGAUAAGGUCAUUAAGCUGCAUAGCUUAGUGAUGAAAGGAGACGCCUGCGGAGAGCCUUGCGUCCUAUUAGCUGGUUGGAGGGGUAACGGCCCACCAAGGCGAAGAUAGGUAGCCGGCCUGAGAGGGUGGACGGCCACAAGGGGACUGAGAUACGGCCCUUACUCCUACGGGAGGCAGCAGUGGGGAAUAUUGGACAAUGGGGGCAACCCUGAUCCAGCAAUUCUGUGUGCACGAAGACGGUUUUCGGAUUGUAAAGUGCUUUCAGCAGGGAAGAAGGAAGUGACGGUACCUGCAGAAGAAGCGACGGCUAAAUACGUG
RNAcentral lists this ribosomal RNA (463 nucleotides) under uncultured bacterium. RNAcentral's name for it is "partial 16S ribosomal RNA". It matches the Rfam family "Bacterial small subunit ribosomal RNA", at positions 28 to 507 of the family's 1533-position model. The record is from RNAcentral.